Molecule: ribosomal RNA, 497 nt
Filed under: uncultured bacterium
Lineage: Bacteria
Description: partial 16S ribosomal RNA
Rfam family: Bacterial small subunit ribosomal RNA
Source: RNAcentral
GAUGAACGCUGGCGGCGUGCCUAAUACAUGCAAGUCGAGCGAACAGACGAGGAGCUUGCUCCUCUGACGUUAGCGGCGGACGGGAGAGUAACACGUGGAUAACCUACCUAUAUGACUGGGAUCACUUCGGGAAACCGGAGCUAAUACCGGAUAAUAUAGUGAACCGCAUGGUUCAAUAGUGAGAGACGGUGUUGCUGGCACUUAUAGAUGGAUCCGCGCCGGAUUAGCUAGUUGGUAAGGUAACGGCUUACCAAGGCGACGAUGCGUAGCCGACCUGAGAGGGUGAUCGGCCACCCUGGAACUGAGACACGGUCCAUACUCCUACGGGAGGCAGCAGUAGGGAAUCUUCCGCAAUGGGCGAAAGCUUGACGGAGCAACGCCGCGUGAGUGAUGAAGGUCUUCGGUUCGUAAAGCUCUGUUAUUAGGGAAGAACAACUGUGUAAGUAACUAUGCACGUCUUGACGGUACCUAAUCAGAAAGCCCCGGCUAACUACGUG